GAGUUUGAUCCUGGCUCAGGACGAACGCUGGCGGCGUGCCUAAUACAUGCAAGUCGAACGCACGAAGUUGAAGAGCUUGCUCUUUGACCAAGUGAGUGGCGGACGGGUGAGUAACACGUGGGUAACCUGCCCAUUAGAGGGGGAUAACAUUCGGAAACGGAUGCUAAUACCGCAUAGUUUCAGGAAUCGCAUGAUUCUUGAAGGAAAGGUGGCUUCGGCUACCACUAAUGGAUGGACCCGCGGCGUAUUAGCUAGUUGGUGAGGUAAUGGCUCACCAAGGCAAUGAUACGUAGCCGACCUGAGAGGGUGAUCGGCCACACUGGGACUGAGACACGGCCCAGACUCCUACGGGAGGCAGCAGUAGGGAAUCUUCCGCAAUGGACGAAAGUCUGACGGAGCAACGCCGCGUGAGUGAAGAAGGUUUUCGGAUCGUAAAACUCUGUUGUUAAAGAAGAACAAGGAUGAGAGUAACUGCUCAUCCCCUGACGGUAUUUAACCAGAAAGCCACGGCUAACUACGUGCCAGCAGCCGCGGUAAUACGUAGGUGGCAAGCGUUGUCCGGAUUUAUUGGGCGUAAAGCGAGCGCAGGCGGUUCUUUAAGUCUGAUGUGAAAGCCCCCGGCUCAACCGGGGAGGGUCAUUGGAAACUGGAGAACUUGAGUGCAGAAGAGGAGAGUGGAAUUCCACGUGUAGCGGUGAAAUGCGUAGAUAUGUGGAGGAACACCAGUGGCGAAGGCGACUCUCUGGUCUGUAACUGACGCUGAGGCUCGAAAGCGUGGGGAGCAAACAGGAUUAGAUAC
This 799-nucleotide ribosomal RNA is filed under the name uncultured bacterium. Its description in RNAcentral is "bacterial SSU rRNA". It matches the Rfam family "Bacterial small subunit ribosomal RNA", at positions 9 to 785 of the family's 1533-position model. The record is from RNAcentral.